AGAUGAUCUUUAAAGGCCACUUCCAACUCAGAAGUUCUAUGAUUCUCUCCUUGGUGUGCCAGAGGACACAACCGCUAGGGGCAUUUCCAUAUGUCUAUGCGUCCUCCCAAGGAUUGGGUCAUGUAUUGCUGUUCUUAUGGCAUCUCUGGCAGAAACAAAUUUACAUUAUCUCAGAGCUGAGAUCCCAGUCUAUCAAGAACUUUCACUGACCCUGCUAGACACUAAGGAAAAAUCCAUCAAGAGGACAGUGAAGAAUGAAGCAUAUGUAAGAAGAAGUUACAUAAGCUUCAUAGGGAUUGCAAGUGGAAGUUCUGAGCAACACAAAUUUGAAACUGGCCAUAAAUCUUGCAGGAUGGAAAAUCCAAGCAAAAUUUCCAGAACAUUCUUCUUCCACUUAGGGAAAAAAUUACCCGUUGUUUAUGUUCAGCGUUUCUCUGAAAAUACCAAGAUUUUCAUCAAAAUACGUAAUUGUAACUAA
This 478-nucleotide long non-coding RNA is filed under the name Numida meleagris (helmeted guineafowl). Its description in RNAcentral is "lncRNA (ENSNMEG00000009051.1)". Lineage: Eukaryota; Metazoa; Chordata; Aves; Galliformes; Numididae. The record is from RNAcentral.